GAUGAAGAACGCAGCGAAAUGCGAUAAGUAAUGCGAAUUGCAGAAUUUCCGUGAAUCAUCGAAUCUUUGAACGCACAUUGCGCCCGCUGGUAUUCCGGCGGGCAUGCCUGUUCGAGCGUCAUUUCAACCCUCAAGCUCUCCGGAGUUUGGUGUUGGGGCGCCUGGGGCUUUUCGACCUCAGGGCCCUCAAGUCCAUCGGCGGGACCGCCAGGACACUGAGCGCAGUAGUAUUAUUUCGCUCGGUAGGAUCUUCCACGGCGGGUCGAUCUGGCCGCUAAACCCCCCAAUUCUCACCAAAGGUUGACCUCGGAUCAGGUAGGAAUACCCGCUGAACUUAAGCAUAUCAAUAAGCGGAGGA
This 358-nucleotide unclassified non-coding RNA is filed under the name soil metagenome. RNAcentral's name for it is "partial contains 5.8S ribosomal RNA, internal transcribed spacer 2, and large subunit ribosomal RNA". The stretch from base 1 to 121 matches the Rfam family "5.8S ribosomal RNA", at positions 35 to 154 of the family's 154-position model. The record is from RNAcentral.